RNAcentral lists this ribosomal RNA (468 nucleotides) under uncultured bacterium. RNAcentral describes it as "partial 16S ribosomal RNA". It matches the Rfam family "Bacterial small subunit ribosomal RNA", at positions 28 to 507 of the family's 1533-position model. The record is from RNAcentral.
GACGAACGCUGGCGGCGUGCUUAACACAUGCAAGUCGAACGGAAAGGCCCUGCUUUUGUGGGGUGCUCGAGUGGCGAACGGGUGAGUAACACGUGAGUAACCUGCCCUUGACUUUGGGAUAACUUCAGGAAACUGGGGCUAAUACCGGAUAGGAGCUCCUGCUGCAUGGUGGGGGUUGGAAAGUUUCGGCGGUUGGGGAUGGACUCGCGGCUUAUCAGCUUGUUGGUGGGGUAGUUGCUUACCAAGGCUUUGACGGGUAGCCGGCCUGAGAGGGUGACCGGCCACAUUGGGACUGAGAUACGGCCCAGACGCCUACGGGAGGCAGCAGUGGGGAAUAUUGCACAAUGGGCGGAAGCCUGAUGCAGCAACGCCGCGUGCGGGAUGACGGCCUUCGGGUUGUAAACCGAUUUCGCCUGUGACGAAGAGUGAGUGACGGUAAUGGGUAAAGAAGCACCGGCUAACUACGUG